This 468-nucleotide ribosomal RNA is filed under the name uncultured bacterium. RNAcentral's name for it is "partial 16S ribosomal RNA". It matches the Rfam family "Bacterial small subunit ribosomal RNA", at positions 28 to 507 of the family's 1533-position model. The record is from RNAcentral.
GACGAACGCUGGCGGCGUGCUUAACACAUGCAAGUCGAACGGAAAGGCCCUGCUUUUGUGGGGUGCUCGAGUGGCGAACGGGUGAGUAACACGUGAGUAACCUGCCCUUGACUUUGGGAUAACUUCAGGAAACUGGGGCUAAUACCGGAUAUGAGCUCCUGCUGCAUGGUGUGGGUUGGAAAGUUUCGGCGGUUGUGGAUGGACUCGCGGCUUAUCAGCUUGUUGGUGUGGUAGUGACUUACCAAGGCUUUGACGGGUAGCCGGCCUGAGAGGGUGACCGGGCACAUUGGGACUGAGAGACGGCCCAGACUCCUACGGGAGGCAGCAGUGGGGAAUAUUGCACAAUGGGCGGAAGCCUGAUGCAGAAACGCCGCGUGCGGGAUGACGGCCUUCGGGUUGUAAACCGCUUUCGCCUGUGACGAAGCGUGAGUGACGGUAAUGGGUAAAGAAGCACCGGCUAACUACGUG